This 269-nucleotide unclassified non-coding RNA is filed under the name Hevea brasiliensis (rubber tree). The record is from RNAcentral. Lineage: Eukaryota; Viridiplantae; Streptophyta; Magnoliopsida; Malpighiales; Euphorbiaceae.
CGGGAACUUUCGCCGGCGCCGGCGAGGCUAAAGGUCCCGUUUUCUUCACAUAGAUUCCGGCGUUUGUUGUAGUGGAAGUGUUCCUGGAAUUCAUCUAUUACUGUAUGUAGACAUCGUUGUGCGCUUUAGAUAAUUGAUUAUUGAAUUUUGUGAUUGGAAGCACAAGUUGAGCUUAUGGAGAAGGAUUUGAGUGACAAUAGACAUUGUAGGAGAAGGAACGAUGAGGAUGUGAAGAAAGUUGAGCGGCAACGAUAUAGGGAUAGAAGCAG